RNAcentral lists this ribosomal RNA (436 nucleotides) under uncultured bacterium. RNAcentral describes it as "bacterial SSU rRNA". It matches the Rfam family "Bacterial small subunit ribosomal RNA", at positions 355 to 786 of the family's 1533-position model. The record is from RNAcentral.
UGAGGAAUAUUGGUCAAUGGGCGGGAGCCUGAACCAGCCAAGCCGCGUGAGGGAUGAAGGCCCUAUGGGUCGUAAACCUCUUUUGUCAGGGAACAAAAGCGAGUAUGUAUACUGGUCUGAGUGUACCUGAAGAAAAAGCAUCGGCUAACUCCGUGCCAGCAGCCGCGGUAAUACGGAGGAUGCGAGCGUUAUCCGGAUUUAUUGGGUUUAAAGGGUGCGUAGGCGGCGGUGCAAGUCAGCGGUAAAAGCCCGGGGGCCUCAACCCCGGCGAGCCGUUGAAACUGCAGUGCUAGAGAAGGCGAGAGGUACGCGGAAUGCGCAGUGUAGCGGUGAAAUGCUUAGAUAUUGCGCAGAACUCCGAUUGCGAAGGCAGCGUACUGGCGCCUGACUGACGCUGAGGCACGAAAGCGUGGGGAUCGAACAGGGAUUAGAUACC